Long non-coding RNA from Passer domesticus (house sparrow), 4505 nucleotides. RefSeq lists it as uncharacterized. NCBI's taxonomy places the organism in Eukaryota, Metazoa, Chordata, Aves, Passeriformes, Passeridae. The record is from RefSeq and is a predicted model, not a curated record. The transcript is spliced from 4 exons.
GGGUACCCCACCUUGGCAGAAUGCUCAGGAAAAUACUUCAUAGUACAAAAACACUUGAAAAGACUUACAGUUGCUUAACUUGCAGGCUUUAACCCUAUAAAGAAGCCUAGAAAGCAACUGGUUUUGCAUCCACAGAACAAUGGACCAGUACUGGGUUUCAUCUCCAGGGAGGUAAGAGGAUGAAAGCUUCCUAAGGAAGCAGUGCCUUUGUAGAAACUGUUACAGUGAUUUUGGAAUGUCCAAUACAUAAAAGCUUUAAAUAUGGACUGGACAGUUAAACACUUCAAAGCUAAUCCCAGCUCACAUUGUCAGCAUGGAUCCUGUUCCUUUUUGUAUUAUUUUAUACUUUGAUUUAGUGAGGUUUUCUCCUUUUUGAAAACUCUGAUGACUUUUUUAAUGAAAAGGAAUAUUGCAUGUUUGCAUUAUAAAAAAAGCCUGUGCGUUUUGUGAAGCAAAGAAAAAACAAAGAAAAUCUCUUACCUUGACUUAAGACAGAAUGUUCCAACCAGGGUCCAAAUUUAGUUUUCUACAGAUCCACCUACACCAGAUCUUUCUGGUAGAUGGUCAGCUGAGGAGACAGCAAGCUAAGUUUCAAAAUACCACAGUUCUAGCUGGAAUCAUAUGGCUGGUGAUUGGUAACUAGUUACAUAUUAAACCCUCCAAUUUAAUAAAAGGGGCCAGCCAAGGCUUAGGGAACUUGAUUACAGCACCAUUAUGAUCUCUAUGAUCCUGACACAGAUUCUCAAAGAAAAAGUACAAAGAGAAGAGUUCCUCAUGUUUAACAGAUGACUGCAAUUACCACAAAAAGGUAAGGAUUUCUGACCACCAAGUAUUCCAGUCUGAAUCUAGACAGAAAAGGUACUUAGCUAGUCAGGGGAUUUCAAGACAUAAACUUACAUGGUUAAGGUUAUAAUUAUUUCUUUAUAGUAAAAAAAUUUAUUCAGUAAUAUUCAGCUUUAUCCAGUAACCUUGUUUACUCUUCACUGUAGGUAAACAGAUAAUAAAAAAGGAACUAACAAAGCCUUUAGAAAUAUAGUUAAAUUUUAUUUUUGUUUCCAGUGAAAAUUAAAAUAGAUUUCUUACAAUUCCCUUCACUAUUUCAGCUCUUGCAUCAGCUGGUGCUCAUCAGCGCCCACCUCUUCUUCAUUCAAAUCUUCUUUUGCUUCUGCAUCUGUCACCUCAGGGUGACUGCAGGCAGCAUCCCUAGCAGAGAGCUUUUUCAUUUUGAUGUUUGGCAGUUUCCUCAGAUCACCAUCCCAUUCUCUUGAAGACAAAAAAUAGGUAAUGAAAACCAGUUAGCAAUAGAAAGGAAGUAAUGGCAGAGUUAAUUCAUAUUUCCUCAGAAGAUGCUAACUCAAGUGAGGCUGCUUUUCUAAGUAAUUCUCUGUCCCACUGUGGCAUGAAUCAGCAACAAAGAUUUCACCUGAUUUUGUACACUACAGAAGCUGUCAUUUCUCUGUGAAGAAAAAAGUACUUUCAGAUGUGAUAUUCUGAAACAAAAAUAUAUGAUUCAUUUAAUUCCCACAGACUUAUUGUACCCUCAGUUACUUUUGGCCACCUGCUUUUAGGUUUAUCUUAUUCAACUUGCAGUCUGGUAAGCAAGCGAAAAUAAGGUCAGAAGAGUUUCUUCAUCUGGAUGCUUGAUUUGCAUAUGUGACAUCACAUUCAUAGGAGCAUGUUUUUCUGAACAAAAGACAGAAGAAAAUAUAAGAGAACAAGAAUAUAUGGAACAAGAAUUAGUGGGAAUGAAAUGAAGACAGAAUUUUGGGGAGUAGUUUAUUGUCUGGCAUUUCUAAGACAAAGUAUUCAACAAUUUUUGCGUUUAGCAAAACAGCAGUGAAAGAGGUAAGUAAACAUUUUUUAAUGUUUCUGACCUUUUCAGAUAGUUUUACUUUUCUUUCUUUUGAGGAUGAACAAACAGCCUGUUAAAAAGUAUGAAACUGUAGAUGCUCUUUAGGCAAAAAAUUAUUUGGUUAUACAAUAAUGAUCACUACAGAAAACAGCAACUAACGAUUAGUACAGAAGUUACAUUAGCAGAUAAGUGGAAAUGAUACAGCUUUCAUCCGAAUUAAAUUCAUUUCCCUGUAAUGUGAAGCCUGCAGAACUAAUUAAUAAAACUAGUGUAUUUAGUUUUAAAAGCAACUUUCCCCCAAGAUUAGUAUUAUGCAUCUGACAGAACAUGCAAGGUAAUUAGAAGUGAAUAAUCAAAAAUGGAUGAUGUUCGAAUGAAAUAAUUAUGAUGCUUUUCCACUGAAUGCAUACUAACUCUGGGUUACAAAUAAAUAAAUAAGUAUCUAGCAUUGCCUUUCAAUAGCUUUGCUAUAAACAUGUAAGACCAGAUUAAACAGAAAACCCAAAUACACAAAAAUGAAAACAUGAGGAAGAAAACUGCAGUAAAACUAGUGUAGAUAUAUUUUAAGGAGCAAGUGACAAGGAGCUGCUAAACCUCAACAUCAUCACUGAUAAUGUUCCCUGUAUAGCUAGUUUCUCUAAAAAAAGACUAAAAUUUACUGUAUUUCGGGAUGUCUACCACUUUUGUAAAAAAUCCUUACAUUGUGUAAAGGGCUAAUUUUUCAUUUACAUACAUCCUCGACAGGACAAGAGGAAAUGCCCUCAAGCUACACACAGGGAAGGUUCAUGUUGGAUGUCAGGACAGAUGUUUUUCACUUAAAGGGUGGUUAAGCAUCAGAAUGAGCUGCCCAAGGAAACGAUGGAGGAAUCAGCAGCCUGGAGAGUGUUCAAGAAAUGACUGGAUGUGGCAUUUAGUGCUAUGGUCUAGCUGACAUGGUGGUGUUUGGUCAAAGGUUGGAUUUAAUGACCUUGGAAGGCUUUUCCAGCCUAACUGAUCCUAUGAUAUAAAUAGAUUACAUCAAAUUUUAGUAGACUUCCCUAAAGGAAAAGAAUACAUAUUAUGCAGUCUCUUCAUAGCAAAUGCACAUGCAUACAAGAAAUAACUGAAUUCAAGAACAGAAGGGGAAAAAACCCAACAAAUCUAAGUCAGUUAUAAAAGCUCCACUCACUAAAGCUUCUAGGAUUAAUAAUGAGCUAGAGGCAUAAAAGCACUGUUUCCAGCUGAUUUCCAUUUAUGCCCAAUCUCUAAUUACAGUAUUUAGUUGCUAUAGUACUUAGCAGCAACUAUUUUCUCUGAAUGAACACUGUCCUAGACAGAGAGCAAAACCUGCAGCAGCUGUGAUAACAAAUAAUGAAUGAAAGUGUAUUCAAUAUGUGAAGUUGCACUGUGCUCUCUGAAUGCUUUACUUACUAAUUCUAUAAUAACCUCAAAUUUUGCCUACAAUAUUUCUAGCUUCUUCAUUAUUUUUAUGUUGUGCUUGUGCUUUUGACAUCUUUUUCUCUAGCUUUACUGCCUUUUCUGUCCGCUUUCCAAAAAGCAAUAAAAACAAAAAGAACUAAAAUUUAAAAGCAAAACCCAAAAAGAAUACAUUCUACAAUUAAGCUAAAGACAAUCAGAGAGUCGAUUUUCCUAUGACAUUUUCCCCCUUCUUCUAAGACAUCAAAGAUGAUGCAUGAAGUCAUACAGAUAUUCUUAAAUUCCUCUGCUGGCUGCACUGGCAAAUUUUAAAGUCAUUAAAUUUCUUGGUUUGUACAAUACAUAUCAGGGUGUGCUGAUUUUGGACAGGGUAGAGUUAAUUUUUUUCACUACAGUUAGUACAGGGCUGCAUUUUAGAUUAGCUGGAAAUGGUGUUGAUGAAACCAGGAUGUUUUCAUUAUUCCUGAGCUGGGCUUGCACAGGUAAGACUCUUUCUGCUUCUCACCCCAGCCCACCAGUGAGGAGGCUGAGGGUGCACAAGGAGCUGGGAGGGAACAUAGCUGGAACAGCUCUGGGACCAGGGAAUAUGACACACAACCCAAACCUUGCUCUGCUUUGAAUCCUAAUUACAGAAUACUGUAGAUUUUUCAUAUUUUCCACAACAUAUUUUACUAUUAGAAGGAUCAAUUAUGUGUGGAUUAUACUUUAACAUUAAUGCCAAGUUAACCACUCAGCUUCAACCUGUACAUUAUUGGUUAAAGCAAAAUACAAACACUUCACUGCUUAUCUUGACUAUCCCCAAACAACUCUUUGCUUCUUGUACUUUAAUUAUCUCUUUGUCUUUCUUAUUUCACCAAACUAUUGCUGCUUCCCUUCAACCUAGUUCCAGCCAUCAAAUUAAGGUCCAACCAGCUGUUGUUCAGAAUUCAAAGCAGGUGCAUUAAAAGCUCAUUUAGUUUGAAAAAUAGGUUAUAUAUGCCUGCACUGACAAGACACUAGUAGCAAAGAUGCCCAAAGGAAGGCAAAAGUAGAAUGUAUGAGUCAGAUCUCCACCAUGUUUUUUUCUCCUUUUCUUCACCAUGGCCCUCCUCCCAAAAAACUGCAAGGCACAAGCACCUGGCACUUAGGUAGUUUCUUUAAAGAGAAAAAUAAGGACAAUGCUUAGAUAGUUUGCUUAGAUUCUGGCUUUGUGAGCAGGUGUGAGGACUGAAUUCUUUAUAACACUUUUACAUACCUA